Molecule: long non-coding RNA, 524 nt
Organism: Morus notabilis
Lineage: Eukaryota; Viridiplantae; Streptophyta; Magnoliopsida; Rosales; Moraceae
Exons: 4
Source: RefSeq, a predicted model, not a curated record
AGGUUGUGCCAAGGAGUAUGGUUUAUGUGCAAAGUGUUGUUGCUGUGUGAGCCAAACAAUUGGAAGGCUAUCAAGAAUGCUUGAGAAAGGGACGGGACGUCUCUACUUCGCACUUUGUGAAUUUUCAAGCACAAAUCCCUUCGCUCUUUGAUUCUAUUUCACUCUCACAGUCUCUCACACAUUGACUCUGAGAUCGCUUCAGCUUCUUCAAUCAGAUGUCAACUUGGGCUGAUUGUGAGAUCUUUUUGAUUGUUGAAAUUGAUCUGAUCGUUAUAUGAAAUCUCUAUGAUUGAUGGAAAUCUCCUGCAAGAAGAUAUUCGUAUAUUUCUGUAUAUAUGGCCAGAUUCAUGGAGCAUUGUCCAGCUGUUUUUCUCUGGUGAAAUUUGAACAUGAUUUUCUACAUCUUUCUAGUAUUGCUGCCAUUUUUGUUGUAACAAAAUACGCAAUGUACUGACAGCUGGCGAUUUGAAUUUUAGAUUGAUUUGCAUAUUGAUUUGCAGUUGUGAUAUGAUUUGGAGAUUGGU